UUUUAUGGAGAGUUUGAUCCUGGCUCAGGACGAACGCUGGCGGCGUGCCUAAUACAUGCAAGUCGAGCGGACUGAUGGGAGCUUGCUCCCUGAUGUUAGCGGCGGACGGGUGAGUAACACGUGGGCAACCUGCCUGUAAGACUGGGAUAACUCCGGGAAACCGGGGCUAAUACCGGAUAACCCGUUCCACCUCAUGGUGGAGCGGU
Molecule: ribosomal RNA, 206 nt
Filed under: Alkalihalophilus pseudofirmus
Lineage: Bacteria; Bacillati; Bacillota; Bacilli; Caryophanales; Bacillaceae
Description: Bacillus pseudofirmus partial 16S ribosomal RNA
Rfam family: Bacterial small subunit ribosomal RNA
Source: RNAcentral